AUGCUCUGUGUGUGUGUGCAGUGCAUGUGAAUAUGGGUUUGGGCUUAAGCCCAAACCCUUUUUUCACCUAUUAGACCCUAACCCACUCAACCCCAAAACCCAUUUCCAUUUCCUAAAAUUCCAUCUUUUGGGUAGUUUAUUAAAUUGUACAUUUUCGUGCUUAGGUGAAGUUGCUAGUGGAGACUUCCUUAAUCAUUUUCCGCACAAUUCUGCUGUUACGGAGUAUCUGUCUUAGAAACGAGGCAUAGAAUCCCGGCAUCAAGGCACUUCCGCAUCGGCAUCUUCGUGUCCUUUCGGAGUAUGACCCAUUCCUUCAUUGAUUUAAUUUUAUCUUAAUUCUUUUUAGUGAUUAGGUUUAGUUGUGUGCUAUGUACACGUUCUUAAAUUAUUAAUUCAUUGUUUUUAAAUUCA
Malus domestica (apple) is the source of this 411-nucleotide long non-coding RNA. RefSeq lists it as uncharacterized. The record is from RefSeq and is a predicted model, not a curated record. NCBI's taxonomy places the organism in Eukaryota, Viridiplantae, Streptophyta, Magnoliopsida, Rosales, Rosaceae.